CAAGUCGAACGCGAAAGCCUCCUUCGGGGGGCAAGUAGAGUGGCGCACGGGUGAGUAACACGUAGGUAAUCUACCUUUGGAUUGGGAAUAACCACCGGAAACGGUGGCUAAUACCGAAUAAUGCAGCGGCACCUAAUGGUGACAGUUGUUAAAGCGGGGGAUCGCAAGACCUCGCGUCUGAAGAGGAGCCUGCGGCAGAUUAGCUAGUUGGUAAGGUAACGGCUUACCAAGGCGAUGAUCUGUAGCCGGCCUGAGAGGGCGGUCGGCCACACUGACACUGACAUACGGGUCAGACUCCUACGGGAGGCAGCAGUCGGGAAUUUUGGGCAAUGGGCGAAAGCCUGACCCAGCAACGCCGCGUGAAGGAUGAAAUCCCUCGGGAUGUAAACUUCGCAAGAACGGGAAGAAUAAGUAAGAGUUAAUAUCUCUUACGAUGACGGUACUGUUUGUAAGCUCCGGCUAACUCCGUGCCAGCAGCCGCGGUAAUACGGGGGGAGCAAGCGUUGUUCGGAUUUACUGGGCGUAAAGGGCGCGUAGGCGGCCACCGCAAGUCAGUUGUGAAAGCUCUGGGCUUAACCCAGAAAGGUCAGCUGAUACUGCGGGGCUAGAGUGCAGAAGGGGCAACUGGAAUUCUCGGUGUAGCGGUGAAAUGCGUAGAUAUCGAGAGGAACACCUGCGGCGAAGGCGGGUUGCUGGGCUGACACUGACGCUGACAGCGCGAAAGCUAGGGGAGCGAACGGGAUUAGAUACCCCGGUAGUCCUAGCCUUAAACGAUGAAUGCUUGGUGUCUGGGGUUUUAUAGUCCCCGGGUGCCGUCGCUAACGCUUUAAGCACUCCGCCUGGGGAGUACGGUCGCAAGACUGAAACUCAAAGGAAUUGACGGGGACCCGCACAA
Molecule: ribosomal RNA, 895 nt
Filed under: uncultured Bacillota bacterium
Lineage: Bacteria; Bacillati; Bacillota
Description: bacterial SSU rRNA
Rfam family: Bacterial small subunit ribosomal RNA
Source: RNAcentral